CCUACGGGAGGCAGCAGUGGGGAAUAUUGCACAAUGGGGGAAACCCUGAUGCAGCGACGCCGCGUGAGUGAUGAAGUUUUUCGUUAUGUAAAGUCCUAUCAGCAGGGAAGAAAAUGACGGUAUCUGAGUAAGAAGCCCCGGCUAACUACGUGCCAGCAGCCGCGGUAAUACGUAGGGGGCAAGCGUUAUCCGGAUUUACUGGGUGUAAAGGGAGCGUAGACGGCAGUGCAAGUCUGGUGUGAAAGGCGAGGGCUCAACCCUCGGACUGCAUUUGAAACUGUUCGGCUGGAGUGCAGGAGAGGUAAGUGGAAUUCCUAGUGUAGCGGUGAAAUGCGUAGAGAUUAGGAGGAACACCAGUGGCGAAGGCGACUUACUGGACUGUAACUGACGUUGAGGCGCGAAAGCGUGGGGAGCAAACAGGAUUAGAUACCCGGGUAGUC
This 440-nucleotide ribosomal RNA is filed under the name uncultured bacterium. RNAcentral's name for it is "partial 16S ribosomal RNA". It matches the Rfam family "Bacterial small subunit ribosomal RNA", at positions 338 to 795 of the family's 1533-position model. The record is from RNAcentral.